GUUUGGAUAUGUUCAACCCAUUUAGUGGAUGACUAGGCUGGUAUCAGCAAACCCACGUGGUAAGCUGCGAUAUGCCUGGGUGAGGUGCACGCAACCUUUGACCCCAGGAUCUGGGUGUAUGCUCUUUGGGAAACUGAAGCGCAUAGUUACCCCGGGAAUUGAAACAUCUUAGUACCGGGCGGAAGAGAAACCAAUUGGGAUUCGGUUAGUAAGGGUGACUGAACUCCGAAUAGGCCAAGCUGAAUUAUCUGCAGCAAUGCAGGUGAGAUGUGGCGGGGAGCAUCCAUUCUUUGAGCAGAAGUCUUCUGGAAAGGAGCGCCAUAGCGGGUGAUAGCCCCGUAUGCGAAGGAGAGUGGAGCGAUCCAAGAAGAGUACCGUCUGCCGGAUAGGAGGCGGGAAUGUGGGGGUAUCAACCUCCAAGCCUAAAUAUUAGGUACCAGACCGAUAGCGAAUGAGUAGCGUGAGCGAAUGUUGAAAAGGACCCCGGAAGGGGUGUGAAUAUAGAGCCUGAAAUUAAAUGGGGACAGGAAGGCAUGGCAUUAAAGGGCUUUAGGAUUGCCGAAGUGAAUUCCCGAAAGGGUUGGAUCGAGGCAGUUUAACCAGUGUCGUGUCAUUCUUCUUGAAGCAAGAGCCAGGGAGUUUAUUCGUGUGGCGAGAUGAGAGUCGAAGCGAAAGCAAGAGCCCGCAGGAAACAAGGGGCGUCCUCUGAAAGGGGGAUCAGUCACACGGAUCAGACCCGAAGCCGGCGCGAUCUACGCGCGAGCAGGGUGAAGCCAGCUUGAUCGUUGGUGGAGGCCCGCAACUAGUGUUGGUAUAUUCCACUUAGGUGACUCGCGUGUAGGGGUGAUAGGCCAGUCGAGCCCGGCAAUAGCGGGUUCCCUCUGAGAUGUAUCUGAGUACAGCGUCUCCCGAGGAGGAUACUGAGGUAGAGCACUGAUUGGGAAGAGCGGGGUGGA
This 956-nucleotide ribosomal RNA is filed under the name Microcaldota archaeon. Its description in RNAcentral is "Micrarchaeota archaeon Archaeal large subunit ribosomal RNA". It matches the Rfam family "Archaeal large subunit ribosomal RNA", at positions 1 to 1011 of the family's 2987-position model. Lineage: Archaea; Nanobdellati; Microcaldota. The record is from Rfam by way of RNAcentral.